GAGGGUUGCUGGAGGUAUCAGAAGUGCGAAUGCUGACAUAAGUAACGAUAAAGCGGGUGAAAAGCCCGCUCGCCGGAAGACCAAGGGUUCCUGUCCAACGUUAAUCGGGGCAGGGUGAGUCGACCCCUAAGGCGAGGCCGAAAGGCGUAGUCGAUGGGAAACGGGUUAAUAUUCCCGUACUUGGUGUUACUGCGAAGGGGGGACGGAGAAGGCUAUGUUGGCCGGGCGACGGUUGUCCCGGUUUAAGCGUGUAGGUGUGUGUUCCAGGUAAAUCCGGUU
Molecule: ribosomal RNA, 279 nt
Filed under: Salmonella enterica subsp. enterica serovar Ajiobo
Lineage: Bacteria; Pseudomonadati; Pseudomonadota; Gammaproteobacteria; Enterobacterales; Enterobacteriaceae
Description: partial 23S ribosomal RNA
Rfam family: Bacterial large subunit ribosomal RNA
Source: RNAcentral